Molecule: long non-coding RNA, 136 nt
Organism: Bombus pascuorum
Lineage: Eukaryota; Metazoa; Arthropoda; Insecta; Hymenoptera; Apidae
Exons: 2
Source: RefSeq, a predicted model, not a curated record
GAAGCACUUAUGAAAUCUCAGCAUAAUUCAUGGCAAACAGUGUGCCACGAUAGCGGCAUCCAGACAUCGAUCAGCGAGUCUAGAGGACUUGUUCGGCGAGAUUACAAGAUUGCCAAGAAGCGGUGUUUGAUCGGAA